UAAUUUUAAUAGCAUAAGUCGGUUUUAGAAAUGACUUAUAAUGCUAUAUCAUAUGUCGGUUGGUAUUGGACACAUACCAUGUUAAAAUUAGCUUGAAAAAAAAAAGCACAAAUAAAAUUAAGUAUCCCGCGCUCUUCUCUUUCACGGUACACCCCCGCGAAAAAAAUUUCUUCUCGUCUUCUUCAUUCCGCCAGCAACCCAAACUGCAGCGACUCUCCCUCCUCAACUCCGGUCACUCAACUUCACCAGCAUACCAUUCGGCAAUAGCCCCUUCCGUUGUUCACCAGCGGUCUCUGGUCGUGGCAGCAUCUCUCACUGCGUUGUUCACCAGCGGUCUCCGGUCAGUUGAGGGAGUAGAGUCUACCGAAAAUGGUUGAUCUAUUGGACUUGCAUCAUUGCUAGUUAAGGAAGAAGUAACUGAGUUAAUCCCAUUAUUAACUGUUGUGGUCCCUACUGUAACAGACCUUGAAAUCAGUCCUUCAGACUCCAUGGCUUCCCUUGCUGCUUUCUCUUUGGCUCUUCUAGCUCUUUAAUUAAUAUUUAUAUGCUUACAUCAUAUGUAUAGCAUGUUGAAUUUGGACUGUUUUAUCACUUGAAUUUUGGUUUGGUUUUGUUUUAUGCGGAAGAGGAAGAAGAAAUUGAGAUGCUUUUGGAAAACUACCUCCAAAGACAAGACUUGAAGGUAUAACUGCAAGCAAGACUGAACAAUUUGCUGUCGUUCUGGAGGUUUUCAAAGUUGCGUCAGCUCUCUUCAUGGUAGAUGUUCGAAAAGCUGCUGGGGACACUCUUGAAUAUCACAAGGUUUUUGGUGGAAAUAUUAGCAAGGAUCAUUGCCAAGUGAAUUAAUUUGCUUGAUUAUUGUUAAUUGCAAGAGGAGGAUUUUAGUCCAAUUUUAGGGAAACCUCUGUCGAAUUUUUUCUAGGAAAUGGACAAGAGUUGGAUAACAAAGGACAGACUUUCAAAAGAGUAUGAAGAGGGAGUCGACAACUUUAUUAAGUUAGCGUUAGAAAAUACAACAGAUCCUUCCACCAAUGAAGGACUUCGUGACAAAUGAGUUUUCAAUGCGAUGGCUAACUAGUAAUUGUGGCGGGAAGAACUAUUACACAAAGGAUGAGAUCAAUGAAGUACGUGAAGCAUGGGCACAAUGCGUCAUGGAUUUGAUGAGUACUACAUAGGUCCACUCACUUUUGUUAACUUAGACUUUUAAUGAGAUAUACUUACAAUGUUAACUUAGACUUUCUUGAAGAUAUACACACUUUUGUUGCCUAACUAUAGUUUACAAUGCUUAUGUGAGUCAUUUUGUAAUUAACUCAAUACUCGUUAUUUUAGAUACUUAGUUCAAAUUCUAGUAUUUUAUAUUAUUGUGAUAUAUGUUUUGUUUUGUUCAGUUUGUUUGUAUAAAAAAACAUGAUUUG
This is a long non-coding RNA of Humulus lupulus (European hop), 1415 nucleotides long. RefSeq lists it as uncharacterized. NCBI's taxonomy places the organism in Eukaryota, Viridiplantae, Streptophyta, Magnoliopsida, Rosales, Cannabaceae. The record is from RefSeq and is a predicted model, not a curated record. The transcript has 7 exons.